This 374-nucleotide long non-coding RNA is filed under the name Homo sapiens (human). RNAcentral's name for it is "LHRI_LNC624.1". Lineage: Eukaryota; Metazoa; Chordata; Mammalia; Primates; Hominidae. The record is from RNAcentral.
GAAAAAAAUGCUGGAGCAAUGGGACAUCCAAUGCCACGAGAGUGAACGUUACACCUAUACAAGAAGUAACUCAGAAUCAUAGAUUAAAAUAUAAAACCCCAAAUCUUUUAGCAGAUAACAGGCUGGGUGUGGUGGUUCACACUUGUAAUCCCAGACCUUUGAGAUGAAGACUAGUCUGAGCAACACAGCAAGAUCUCAUUGCUACAAAAAUUUAGAAUAUUAGCCCAGCAUGGUAGCAUGCACCUGUGGUCCCAUCUACUCCGGAGGCUGAGGCAGAAGGAUUGCUUGAACCCAGGUGGUUAAGGCUGCAGUGAGCCAUGAUUGUGCCACUGCAUUCCAGCCUGGGUAACAGAGCAAGACCCUGUCUCCAAAAA